This 3392-nucleotide long non-coding RNA is filed under the name Homo sapiens (human). RNAcentral's name for it is "HSALNT0124356". Lineage: Eukaryota; Metazoa; Chordata; Mammalia; Primates; Hominidae. The record is from RNAcentral.
UGCAACCUCCGCCUCUGGGGCUCCGCCAUCCUCCCCACUCAGCCUCCCAAGUAGCUGGAACUACAGCUGUACACCACCAUAACUGGCUAAUUUUUGUAUUUUUUGUGUGUGGAGAUGGGAGAUUUCGCCGUAUUUCCCAGGCUGGUCUCAAAUUCCUGACCUUAAGUUAUCCGCCUGCCUCGGCCUCCCAAAGUGCUGGGAUUACAAGCAUGAGCCACCUCGGCCGGAACAAUUUAAAAAUAUUUAAAGUCGUUUUAAGUGUCACUCUUUUCUUAACAGUAUUUUCUACCAAUUAAUGCCAACUGAGGUUCUUCUAUCUUUCAAGUCCAUUUCCAAACAGUCUAAGGAAAGAUGCAAAAUUCAAUUUCCACUCCAGCUACUGGAAAGCAGUAUUUAAUUUUAGUCCUGCCAAACAAAAUGAAGCAAGCGGUAAGUGAUUGUGGCACAUGGAAGUGUUUCAUGCUUCAGACCGAUUGAGUUCGUUGUCCUUUACUUUCCACUCUGAGGCUGGCUGCCCUGUUAAUUUCCAUUUUCUCAGGGAUUACACUGAUCUCAAUUUACACCGUAAUAAUAAUAAGAAGAAAAGAAUCAAGCUAAGUAAAUUACAGCAGAGAGCAAAACGUGGAAUGGAUGGGCCCUUACAGAAGAGACUUGUUUUCAGGCUGAGAACAAAGGAGUGUGGAUGGAUUAGGACAGCCUGAGUCCAGCCUCAGCCUCUUACCAGCUGGGCUCCUCACCUGAUCUCUCUAAGCCGGUUUUUUCAAGCACAAACAUAAUGACAACAAUACCUACUUAGAGGAUUUGGGAAUGCAAAGAGGAGAAAAAAUAUCCAUGAAAAUACUUGAAAAAAUUUUCCGUGCCGCACACGUCGGCUGCAGUUAGAUCAGGUAUUUAUCAAGUCACCCAAAUAUUUUUACCCACCAGCUUUUCUCUCCUCCUACUUUUUGCCUGUCUCCCAUGCCAGAGAGACAAAGGAGGUAAAAACCAAAGUCCUCAUCCUCUUCUCAAUCAAUUCAUUGGCUGGUUCUCAUCCCUGGCUGCAGAUCACAGACCCCGGGGAGCCUUCGCCCCACCCCAGGGCCAUUGCAACAAUCCCUCCGGGGUGGGGCAUGGGCUUGAAGCCACCACUUCAUAAACCCUCUCUCUGAACGUCCUUGAAAGGACUCUGCCAUACCCUGGGAGGUCACGUGGUUUUCUUGCUAAGGCUACUGCCAGCCAAGAAACCAAAGCUUUUGCUGAAAUGAAUCUGUUAAACAGCUGCUUCAAAUUCAACCUCACAGAUCCCUGGGGUAUGAAACUGUCUGCCCUCAUGGAGUUAAAUGGGCAUACUUUCAUUCUGGUAUGAUUGCAGCAUUUUAACUAGCAAUGUUAUGGAGUUUUUCAACAUUGAAAGUGGUUAUCUGUGACCCAUAAUUUGCGAGAUCUUUAAUUUAAUAUAAUUAGAGGGACACUCCUGAAACAAACGUCCACAUAACCAAAGGCAUUAGAUGACUACUCAAAUACAUUACUUCAGCACCUUUCUCCUUUCCCUUUCCUCUUCCGUGUCUCUUCCCAAAAAUGAUGCUUAAAUUCAGAGGUUUGGGUUUUGGGGGAUUUUUUUUUUAACUAAUUAAGCAAUUUAUCGGUUGCAACUAAGCUUAUUAAACUUCUGUAAUGAAAAUAUUACUUGUUUUUGGCCGGGCACGGUGGCUCACACCUGUAAUCCCAGCACUUUGGGAGGCCAAGGCGGGUGGAUCACCUGAGGUCAGGAGUUCGAGACCAGCCUGACCAACAUGGAGCAAUCCGGUCUCUGCUUAAAAUACAACAUUAGGCGGGCGUGGUAGUGCAUGCCUGUACUCCCAGCUACUCAGGAGGCUGAGGCAGGAGAAUGGUGUGAACCCGGGAGGCGGAGCUUGCAGUGAGCCAAGAUCACGCCACUUCACUCCAGCCUGGGCGACAGAGCGAGACUCCGUCUCAAAAAAAAAAAAAAAGAAAAAAGAAAAUAUUACUGGUUUUUGGUUAGUUUUAAGUCAGAGGCAUUCAUUAAUAAGGAAUCUUCAAAUGUGAGUGUUCCAGAAAUGUUCUCCAUGCCAUCUGAAUUAUCAAGAAUAAGUUUCUCUAGCCAGGCGUGGUGGGUUCAUGCCUGUAAUCCCAACACUUUGGGAGGCUGAGGGCAGCCUUAAGGUCAGGAGCCUUAAGAUCACUUAAGGUCAGGAGUUCGAGACCAGCCUGGUCAACAUAGUAAAACCCCCUUUCUACUAAAAACACAAAAAUUAGUCGGAUGUGGUAGUGGGCGCCUGUAAUCCCAGCUACUCGAGAGACUGAGGCAGGAGAAUCGCUUGAACCCAGGCAGCGGAGGUUGCAGUGAGCCAAGAUCGUGCCACUGCACUCCAGCCUGGGCGACAGAGCGAGACUCUGUCUCCAAAAAAAAAAAAGAGUAAAUAAUAAUUUUCUCUAGGCCGGACACCAGGUGCAGUGGCUCAUGCCUGUAAUCCCAGCACUUUGGGAGGCCAAGGUGGGUGGAUUACUUGAGGCCAAGCGUUUGAGACCAGCAGGAUUACAACAUGGUCUGGAUUUGAGGAUUUGCUCCUGGGCUUCACUGGUUAUCUGCACAUCGGUGCCAACUGGCAAAGGUCAAGGUAGGCUGGAUCCAGGCUGGAACCAGCAGGUGCCCUGAGGACUGCGACAGGAAGCCAAUUAGGAACAACUUCUUAUUGUCUCCUUGCUGAAAACCACAGAGUUCUUAUCUUCUGAAAACUUUGCUCUGGGCUGGAAGGCGUGGCUGGUUGCCCUGCUGGUAUCAGGGCCACAGUGGGAACCAGUACUGGCCAUUGGACUAAGUGUCCUUUUUUUAAUUAAAAAAAAAAAAGUUGGAUUAUUUUAUAUACAGUAUUAGUCCCUCUCCUCUCUCCUGCUUAAUUUGUAUUUAAUUUUCUCUUUUUUUUUUUUUUUGAGAAGGAGUCUCUCUCUGUCGCCCAGGCUGGAGUGCAGUGGCAUGAUCUCGGCUCACUGCAAGCUCCGCCUCCCGGGUUCACGCCAUUCUCCUGCCUCAGCCUCCCAAGUAGCUGGGACUACAGGUGCCCGCCACCAUGCCCGGCUAAUUUUUUUAUAUUUUUUAGUAGAGACGGGGUUUCACCGUGUUAGCCAGGAUGGUCUCGAUCUCCCGACCUCAUGAUCUGCCCGCCUCGGCCUCCCAAAGUGCUGGGAUUACAGACGUGAGCCACCACGCCCGGCCUAUAAAAAGUUGUAUUAUUAUAUUUUUAAAAUUUUUUAUUUUAUUUUAGUGUGUUUGGCAGAGUCACCCAGGCUGGAGUGCACUGGCACGAUCUCAGCUCACUGCAGCCUCCAUCUCCCAGGAUCAAGCGAUUCUCCUGCCUUAGCCUCCCGAGUAGCUGGGAUUACAGGCACCCGCC